AAAAACCUGGGAAAAAGAUAGUGAGAGAAGAGCUAACAGAGUUCAGAGCAACCUCCAGAGACUGAAAGGAACUCAUCUGCAAAGAGCCAAUUCCAUCUCAUAUAAACCCUCAGAUUGCUUUGCAAACCCAACCGAGCAAUUCAAUUUCAUUCGAUCUCUCCAAUCAGGUUUGCCCUAUUUCCACUACUUUAUACUUUCAACCUGAAAUUUUUGAUACCCUUUU
This 223-nucleotide long non-coding RNA is filed under the name Lathyrus oleraceus (garden pea). RNAcentral's name for it is "Pisum sativum (pea) long non-coding RNA (PSAT_LNC041595)". Lineage: Eukaryota; Viridiplantae; Streptophyta; Magnoliopsida; Fabales; Fabaceae. The record is from RNAcentral.